GACGAACGCUGGCGGCGUGCUUAACACAUGCAAGUCGAACGGAAAGGCCCUGCUUUUGUGGGGUGCUCGAGUGGCGAACGGGUGAGUAACACGUGAGUAACCUGCCCUUGACUUUGGGAUAACUUCAGGAAACUGGGGCUAAUACCGGAUAGGAGCUCCUGCUGCAUGGUGGGGGUUGGAAAGUUUCGGCGGUGGGGGAUGGACUCGCGGCUUAUCAGCUUGUUGGUGGGGUAGUGGCUUACCAAGGUUUUGACGGGUAGCCGGCCUGAGAGGGUGACCGGCGACAUUGGGACUGAGAUACGGCCCAGACUCCUACGGGAGGCAGCAGUGGGGAAUAUUGCACAAUGGGCGGAAGCCUGAUGCAGCAACGCCGCGUGCGGGAUGACGGCCUUCGGGUUGUAAACCGCUUUCGCCUGUGACGAAGCGUGAGUGACGGUAAUGGGUAAAGAAGCACCGGCUAACUACGUG
Molecule: ribosomal RNA, 468 nt
Filed under: uncultured bacterium
Lineage: Bacteria
Description: partial 16S ribosomal RNA
Rfam family: Bacterial small subunit ribosomal RNA
Source: RNAcentral